Molecule: ribosomal RNA, 413 nt
Filed under: uncultured bacterium
Lineage: Bacteria
Description: bacterial SSU rRNA
Rfam family: Bacterial small subunit ribosomal RNA
Source: RNAcentral
UCGAGAAUCUUCCACAAUGGGCGAAAGCCUGAUGGAGCGACGUUACGUGAAUGAAGAAACUCUUCGGAGUUUAAAAUUCUUUUCUUCGGGAGGAACUAGCAAUAGUGACAGUACCGAAGGAAUAAGGGGGUCCUAAUUCUGUGCCAGCAGGAGCGGUAAUACAGAACCCCCGAGCGUUACCCGGAUUUACUGGGCGUAAAGGGUUCGUAGGUGGUUAAAUAAGUCUUUAGUUAAAACUCAUCGGCUUAACCUUUGAGGUGCUAAAGAUACUGUUUGACUAGAAGACGUUAGAGGCUAACGGAACCGACGGUGUAGGGGUGAAAUCCGUUGAUAUCGUCGGGAACACCAAAGGCGAAGGCAGUUAGCUGGGACGAUCUUGACACUGAGGAACGAAAGCGUGGGGAUCAAAAAGG